This 2906-nucleotide ribosomal RNA is filed under the name Escherichia coli. RNAcentral describes it as "23S ribosomal RNA". It matches the Rfam family "Bacterial large subunit ribosomal RNA". Lineage: Bacteria; Pseudomonadati; Pseudomonadota; Gammaproteobacteria; Enterobacterales; Enterobacteriaceae. The record is from RNAcentral.
GGUUAAGCGACUAAGCGUACACGGUGGAUGCCCUGGCAGUCAGAGGCGAUGAAGGACGUGCUAAUCUGCGAUAAGCGUCGGUAAGGUGAUAUGAACCGUUAUAACCGGCGAUUUCCGAAUGGGGAAACCCAGUGUGAUUCGUCACACUAUCAUUAACUGAAUCCAUAGGUUAAUGAGGCGAACCGGGGGAACUGAAACAUCUAAGUACCCCGAGGAAAAGAAAUCAACCGAGAUUCCCCCAGUAGCGGCGAGCGAACGGGGAGCAGCCCAGAGCCUGAAUCAGUGUGUGUGUUAGUGGAAGCGUCUGGAAAGGCGCGCGAUACAGGGUGACAGCCCCGUACACAAAAAUGCACAUGCUGUGAGCUCGAUGAGUAGGGCGGGACACGUGGUAUCCUGUCUGAAUAUGGGGGGACCAUCCUCCAAGGCUAAAUACUCCUGACUGACCGAUAGUGAACCAGUACCGUGAGGGAAAGGCGAAAAGAACCCCGGCGAGGGGAGUGAAAAAGAACCUGAAACCGUGUACGUACAAGCAGUGGGAGCACAGAGCAAUCUGUGUGACUGCGUACCUUUUGUAUAAUGGGUCAGCGACUUAUAUUCUGUAGCAAGGUUAACCGAAUAGGGGAGCCGAAGGGAAACCGAGUCUUAACUGGGCGUUAAGUUGCAGGGUAUAGACCCGAAACCCGGUGAUCUAGCCAUGGGCAGGUUGAAGGUUGGGUAACACUAACUGGAGGACCGAACCGACUAAUGUUGAAAAAUUAGCGGAUGACUUGUGGCUGGGGGUGAAAGGCCAAUCAAACCGGGAGAUAGCUGGUUCUCCCCGAAAGCUAUUUAGGUAGCGCCUCGUGAAUUCAUCUCCGGGGGUAGAGCACUGUUUCGGCAAGGGGGUCAUCCCGACUUACCAACCCGAUGCAAACUGCGAAUACCGGAGAAUGUUAUCACGGGAGACACACGGCGGGUGCUAACGUCCGUCGUGAAGAGGGAAACAACCCAGACCGCCAGCUAAGGUCCCAAAGUCAUGGUUAAGUGGGAAACGAUGUGGGAAGGCCCAGACAGCCAGGAUGUUGGCUUAGAAGCAGCCAUCAUUUAAAGAAAGCGUAAUAGCUCACUGGUCGAGUCGGCCUGCGCGGAAGAUGUAACGGGGCUAAACCAUGCACCGAAGCUGCGGCAGCGACGCUUAUGCGUUGUUGGGUAGGGGAGCGUUCUGUAAGCCUGCGAAGGUGUACUGUGAGGUAUGCUGGAGGUAUCAGAAGUGCGAAUGCUGACAUAAGUAACGAUAAAGCGGGUGAAAAGCCCGCUCGCCGGAAGACCAAGGGUUCCUGUCCAACGUUAAUCGGGGCAGGGUGAGUCGACCCCUAAGGCGAGGCCGAAAGGCGUAGUCGAUGGGAAACAGGUUAAUAUUCCUGUACUUGGUGUUACUGCGAAGGGGGGACGGAGAAGGCUAUGUUGGCCGGGCGACGGUUGUCCCGGUUUAAGCGUGUAGGCUGGUUUUCCAGGCAAAUCCGGAAAAUCAAGGCUGAGGCGUGAUGACGAGGCACUACGGUGCUGAAGCAACAAAUGCCCUGCUUCCAGGAAAAGCCUCUAAGCAUCAGGUAACAUCAAAUCGUACCCCAAACCGACACAGGUGGUCAGGUAGAGAAUACCAAGGCGCUUGAGAGAACUCGGGUGAAGGAACUAGGCAAAAUGGUGCCGUAACUUCGGGAGAAGGCACGCUGAUAUGUAGGUGAAGUCCCUCGCGGAUGGAGCUGAAAUCAGUCGAAGAUACCAGCUGGCUGCAACUGUUUAUUAAAAACACAGCACUGUGCAAACACGAAAGUGGACGUAUACGGUGUGACGCCUGCCCGGUGCCGGAAGGUUAAUUGAUGGGGUCAGCGCAAGCGAAGCUCUUGAUCGAAGCCCCGGUAAACGGCGGCCGUAACUAUAACGGUCCUAAGGUAGCGAAAUUCCUUGUCGGGUAAGUUCCGACCUGCACGAAUGGCGUAAUGAUGGCCAGGCUGUCUCCACCCGAGACUCAGUGAAAUUGAACUCGCUGUGAAGAUGCAGUGUACCCGCGGCAAGACGGAAAGACCCCGUGAACCUUUACUAUAGCUUGACACUGAACAUUGAGCCUUGAUGUGUAGGAUAGGUGGGAGGCUUUGAAGUGUGGACGCCAGUCUGCAUGGAGCCGACCUUGAAAUACCACCCUUUAAUGUUUGAUGUUCUAACGUUGACCCGUAAUCCGGGUUGCGGACAGUGUCUGGUGGGUAGUUUGACUGGGGCGGUCUCCUCCUAAAGAGUAACGGAGGAGCACGAAGGUUGGCUAAUCCUGGUCGGACAUCAGGAGGUUAGUGCAAUGGCAUAAGCCAGCUUGACUGCGAGCGUGACGGCGCGAGCAGGUGCGAAAGCAGGUCAUAGUGAUCCGGUGGUUCUGAAUGGAAGGGCCAUCGCUCAACGGAUAAAAGGUACUCCGGGGAUAACAGGCUGAUACCGCCCAAGAGUUCAUAUCGACGGCGGUGUUUGGCACCUCGAUGUCGGCUCAUCACAUCCUGGGGCUGAAGUAGGUCCCAAGGGUAUGGCUGUUCGCCAUUUAAAGUGGUACGCGAGCUGGGUUUAGAACGUCGUGAGACAGUUCGGUCCCUAUCUGCCGUGGGCGCUGGAGAAUUGAGGGGGGCUGCUCCUAGUACGAGAGGACCGGAGUGGACGCAUCACUGGUGUUCGGGUUGUCAUGCCAAUGGCACUGCCCGGUAGCUAAAUGCGGAAGAGAUAAGUGCUGAAAGCAUCUAAGCACGAAACUUGCCCCGAGAUGAGUUCUCCCUGACUCCUUGAGAGUCCUGAAGGAACGUUGAAGACGACGACGUUGAUAGGCCGGGUGUGUAAGCGCAGCGAUGCGUUGAGCUAACCGGUACUAAUGAACCGUGAGGCUUAACCUU